RNAcentral lists this ribosomal RNA (208 nucleotides) under uncultured bacterium. RNAcentral describes it as "partial 16S ribosomal RNA". It matches the Rfam family "Bacterial small subunit ribosomal RNA", at positions 1293 to 1500 of the family's 1533-position model. The record is from RNAcentral.
UCGGAUUGUAGGCUGCAACUCGCCUACAUGAAGUUGGAAUCGCUAGUAAUCGCGAAUCAGAAUGUCGCGGUGAAUACGUUCCCGGGUCUUGUACACACCGCCCGUCACACCACGAGAGUUUACAACACCCGAAGUCAGUGGCCUAACCGCAAGGAGGGAGCUGCCUAAGGUGGGGUAGAUGAUUGGGGUGAAGUCGUAACAAGGUAUC